AACGAACGCUGGCGGCGUGGAUAAGACAUGCAAGUCGAACGGGACAACAUCUGUAGCAAUACAGGUGUUGUUUAGUGGCGAACGGGUGCGUAACACGUGGGCAAUCUGCCGAGAAGUGGGGGAUAGCUCGCCGAAAGGCGAAUUAAUACCGCAUAUGAUCAGUGAAGACAUCUUCACGACAUCAAAGCCGGGGCAACCUGGCGCUUCUUGAUGAGCCCGCGGCCUAUCAGCUAGUUGGUGAGGUAACGGCUCACCAAGGCUAUGACGGGUAGCUGGUCUGAGAGGACGACCAGUCACACUGGAACUGAGACACGGUCCAGACACCUACGGGUGGCAGCAGUCGAGAAUUUUCUCAAUGGGGGCAACCCUGAAGGAGCGACGCCGCGUGGAGGAUGAAGGCUUUCGGGUUGUAAACUCCUGUCAUUU
This 426-nucleotide ribosomal RNA is filed under the name uncultured bacterium. Its description in RNAcentral is "bacterial SSU rRNA". It matches the Rfam family "Bacterial small subunit ribosomal RNA", at positions 29 to 441 of the family's 1533-position model. The record is from RNAcentral.